AAAUUGAAGAGUUUGAUCAUGGCUCAGAUUGAACGCUGGCGGCAGGCCUAACACAUGCAAGUCGAGCGGUAGCACAGAGAGCUUGCUCUCGGGUGACGAGCGGCGGACGGGUGAGUAAUGUCUGGGAAACUGCCUGAUGGAGGGGGAUAACUACUGGAAACGGUAGCUAAUACCGCAUAAUGUCGCAAGACCAAAGUGGGGGACCUUCGGGCCUCAUGCCAUCAGAUGUGCCCAGAUGGGAUUAGCUAGUAGGUGGGGUAACGGCUCACCUAGGCGACGAUCCCUAGCUGGUCUGAGAGGAUGACCAGCCACACUGGAACUGAGACACGGUCCAGACUCCUACGGGAGGCAGCAGUGGGGAAUAUUGCACAAUGGGCGCAAGCCUGAUGCAGCCAUGCCGCGUGUAUGAAGAAGGCCUUCGGGUUGUAAAGUACUUUCAGCGGGGAGGAAGGCGAUAAGGUUAAUAACCUUGUCGAUUGACGUUACCCGCAGAAGAAGCACCGGCUAACUCCGUGCCAGCAGCCGCGGUAAUACGGAGGGUGCAAGCGUUAAUCGGAAUUACUGGGCGUAAAGCGCACGCAGGCGGUCUGUCAAGUCGGAUGUGAAAUCCCCGGGCUCAACCUGGGAACUGCAUUCGAAACUGGCAGGCUAGAGUCUUGUAGAGGGGGGUAGAAUUCCAGGUGUAGCGGUGAAAUGCGUAGAGAUCUGGAGGAAUACCGGUGGCGAAGGCGGCCCCCUGGACAAAGACUGACGCUCAGGUGCGAAAGCGUGGGGAGCAAACAGGAUUAGAUACCCUGGUAGUCCACGCCGUAAACGAUGUCGAUUUGGAGGUUGUGCCCUUGAGGCGUGGCUUCCGGAGCUAACGCGUUAAAUCGACCGCCUGGGGAGUACGGCCGCAAGGUUAAAACUCAAAUGAAUUGACGGGGGCCCGCACAAGCGGUGGAGCAUGUGGUUUAAUUCGAUGCAACGCGAAGAACCUUACCUGGUCUUGACAUCCACAGAACUUAGCAGAGAUGCUUUGGUGCCUUCGGGAACUGUGAGACAGGUGCUGCAUGGCUGUCGUCAGCUCGUGUUGUGAAAUGUUGGGUUAAGUCCCGCAACGAGCGCAACCCUUAUCCUUUGUUGCCAGCGGUCCGGCCGGGAACUCAAAGGAGACUGCCAGUGAUAAACUGGAGGAAGGUGGGGAUGACGUCAAGUCAUCAUGGCCCUUACGACCAGGGCUACACACGUGCUACAAUGGCAUAUACAAAGAGAAGCGACCUCGCGAGAGCAAGCGGACCUCAUAAAGUAUGUCGUAGUCCGGAUUGGAGUCUGCAACUCGACUUCAUGAAGUCGGAAUCGCUAGUAAUCGUAGAUCAGAAUGCUACGGUGAAUACGUUCCCGGGCCUUGUACACACCGCCCGUCACACCAUGGGAGUGGGUUGCAAAAGAAGUAGGUAGCUUAACCUUCGGGAGGGCGCUUACCACUUUGUGAUUCAUGACUGGGGUGAAGUCGUAACAAGGUAACCGUAGGGGAACCUGCGGUUGGAUCACCUCCUUACCUUAAAGAA
Molecule: ribosomal RNA, 1550 nt
Filed under: Klebsiella pneumoniae
Lineage: Bacteria; Pseudomonadati; Pseudomonadota; Gammaproteobacteria; Enterobacterales; Enterobacteriaceae
Description: 16S ribosomal RNA
Rfam family: Bacterial small subunit ribosomal RNA
Source: RNAcentral